GGUUAAGCGACUAAGCGUACACGGUGGAUGCCCUGGCAGUCAGAGGCGAUGAAGGACGUGCUAAUCUGCGAUAAGCGUCGGUAAGGUGAUAUGAACCGUUAUAACCGGCGAUUUCCGAAUGGGGAAAACCCAGUGUGAUUCGUCACACUAUCAUUAACUGAAUCCAUAGGUUAAUGAGGGCGAACCGGGGGAACUGAAACAUCUAAGUACCCCGAGGAAAAGAAAUCAACCGAGAUUCCCCCCAGUAGCGGCGAGCGAACGGGGAGGAGCCCAGAGCCUGAAUCAGUGUGUGUGUUAGUGGAAGCGUCUGGAAAGGCGCGCGAUACAGGGUGACAGCCCCGUACACAAAAAUGCACAUGCUGUGAGCUCGAUGAGUAGGGCGGGACACGUGGUAUCCUGUCUGAAUAUGGGGGGACCAUCCUCCAAGGCUAAAUACUCCUGACUGACCGAUAGUGAACCAGUACCGUGAGGGAAAGGCGAAAAGAACCCCGGCGAGGGGGAGUGAAAAAGAACCUGAAACCGUGUACGUACAAGCAGUGGGAGCACAGAGCAAUCUGUGUGACUGCGUACCUUUGUAUAAUGGGUCAGCGACUUAUAUUCUGUAGCAAGGUUAACCGAAUAGGGGAGCCGAAGGGAAACCGAGUCUUAACUGGGCGUUAAGUUGCAGGGUAUAGACCCGAAACCCGGUGAUCUAGCCAUGGGCAGGUUGAAGGUUGGGUAACACUAACUGGAGGACCGAACCGACUAAUGUUGAAAAAUUAGCGGAUGACUUGUGGCUGGGGGGUGAAAGGCCAAUCAAACCGGGAGAUAGCUGGUUCUCCCCGAAAGCUAUUUAGGUAGCGCCUCGUGAAUUCAUCUCCGGGGGUAGAGCACUGUUUCGGCAAGGGGGUCAUCCCGACUUACCAACCCGAUGCAAACUGCGAAUACCGGAGAAUGUUAUCACGGGAGACACACGGCGGGUGCUAACGUCCGUCGUGAAGAGGGAAACAACCCAGACCGCCAGCUAAGGUCCCAAAGUCAUGGUUAAGUGGGAAACGAUGUGGGAAGGCCCAGACAGCCAGGAUGUUGGCUUAGAAGCAGCCAUCAUUUAAAGAAAGCGUAAUAGCUCACUGGUCGAGUCGGCCUGCGCGGAAGAUGUAACGGGGCUAAACCAUGCACCGAAGCUGCGGCAGCGACACUGUGUGUUGUUGGGUAGGGGAGCGUUCUGUAAGCCUGUGAAGGUGUGCUGUGAGGCAUGCUGGAGGUAUCAGAAGUGCGAAUGCUGACAUAAGUAACGAUAAAGCGGGUGAAAAGCCCGCUCGCCGGAAGACCAAGGGUUCCUGUCCAACGUUAAUCGGGGCAGGGUGAGUCGACCCCUAAGGCGAGGCCGAAAGGCGUAGUCGAUGGGAAACAGGUUAAUAUUCCUGUACUUGGUGUUACUGCGAAGGGGGGACGGAGAAGGCUAUGUUGGCCGGGCGACGGUUGUCCCGGUUUAAGCGUGUAGGCUGGUUUUCCAGGCAAAUCCGGAAAAUCAAGGCUGAGGCGUGAUGACGAGGCACUACGGUGCUGAAGCAACAAAUGCCCUGCUUCCAGGAAAAGCCUCUAAGCAUCAGGUAACAUCAAAUCGUACCCCAAACCGACACAGGUGGUCAGGUAGAGAAUACCAAGGCGCUUGAGAGAACUCGGGUGAAGGAACUAGGCAAAAUGGUGCCGUAACUUCGGGAGAAGGCACGCUGAUAUGUAGGUGAAGUCCCUCGCGGAUGGAGCUGAAAUCAGUCGAAGAUACCAGCUGGCUGCAACUGUUUAUUAAAAACACAGCACUGUGCAAACACGAAAGUGGACGUAUACGGUGUGACGCCUGCCCGGUGCCGGAAGGUUAAUUGAUGGGGUCAGCGCAAGCGAAGCUCUUGAUCGAAGCCCCGGUAAACGGCGGCCGUAACUAUAACGGUCCUAAGGUAGCGAAAUUCCUUGUCGGGUAAGUUCCGACCUGCACGAAUGGCGUAAUGAUGGCCAGGCUGUCUCCACCCGAGACUCAGUGAAAUUGAACUCGCUGUGAAGAUGCAGUGUACCCGCGGCAAGACGGAAAGACCCCGUGAACCUUUACUAUAGCUUGACACUGAACAUUGAGCCUUGAUGUGUAGGAUAGGUGGGAGGCUUUGAAGUGUGGACGCCAGUCUGCAUGGAGCCGACCUUGAAAUACCACCCUUUAAUGUUUGAUGUUCUAACGUGGACCCGUGAUCCGGGUUGCGGACAGUGUCUGGUGGGUAGUUUGACUGGGGCGGUCUCCUCCUAAAGAGUAACGGAGGAGCACGAAGGUUGGCUAAUCCCCGGUCGGACAUCAGGAGGUUAGUGCAAUGGCAUAAGCCAGCUUGACUGCGAGCGUGACGGCGCGAGCAGGUGCGAAAGCAGGUCAUAGUGAUCCGGUGGUUCUGAAUGGAAGGGCCAUCGCUCAACGGAUAAAAGGUACUCCGGGGAUAACAGGCUGAUACCGCCCAAGAGUUCAUAUCGACGGCGGUGUUUGGCACCUCGAUGUCGGCUCAUCACAUCCUGGGGCUGAAGUAGGUCCCAAGGGUAUGGCUGUUCGCCAUUUAAAGUGGUACGCGAGCUGGGUUUAGAACGUCGUGAGACAGUUCGGUCCCUAUCUGCCGUGGGCGCUGGAGAACUGAGGGGGCUGCUCCUAGUACGAGAGGACCGGAGUGGACGCAUCACUGGUGUUCGGGUUGUCAUGCCAAUGGCACUGCCCGGUAGCUAAAUGCGGAAGAGAUAAGUGCUGAAAGCAUCUAAGCACGAAACUUGCCCCGAGAUGAGUUCUCCCUGACCCUUUAAGGGUCCUGAAGGAACGUUGAAGACGACGACGUUGAUAGGCCGGGUGUGUAAGCGCAGCGAUGCGUUGAGCUAACCGGUACUAAUGAACCGUGAGGCUUAACCUU
This 2909-nucleotide ribosomal RNA is filed under the name Escherichia coli. RNAcentral describes it as "23S ribosomal RNA". It matches the Rfam family "Bacterial large subunit ribosomal RNA". Lineage: Bacteria; Pseudomonadati; Pseudomonadota; Gammaproteobacteria; Enterobacterales; Enterobacteriaceae. The record is from RNAcentral.